Molecule: ribosomal RNA, 250 nt
Filed under: uncultured bacterium
Lineage: Bacteria
Description: partial 16S ribosomal RNA
Rfam family: Bacterial small subunit ribosomal RNA
Source: RNAcentral
UACGUAGGGUGCGAGCGUUAAUCGGAAUUACUGGGCGUAAAGCGUGCGCAGGCGGUUUCUUAAGCCAGAUGUGAAAGCCCCGGGCUUAACCUGGGAAUUGCGUUUGGAACUGGGAGACUAGAGUGUGGCAGAGGGAGGUAGAAUUCCACGUGUAGCAGUGAAAUGCGUAGAGAUGUGGAGGAAUACCGAUGGCGAAGGCAGCCUCCUGGGCCAACACUGACGCUCAUGCACGAAAGCGUGGGGAGCAAAC